AUUGAACGCUGGCGGCAGGCCUAACACAUGCAAGUCGAGCGGAUGAAGGGAGCUUGCUCCUGGAUUCAGCGGCGGACGGGUGAGUAAUGCCUAGGAAUCUGCCUGGUAGUGGGGGAUAACGUCCGGAAACGGGCGCUAAUACCGCAUACGUCCUGAGGGAGAAAGUGGGGGAUCUUCGGACCUCACGCUAUCAGAUGAGCAUAGGUCGGAUUAGCUAGUUGGUGGGGUAAAGGCCUACCAAGGCGACGAUCCGUAACUGGUCUGAGAGGAUGAUCAGUCACACUGGAACUGAGACACGGUCCAGACUCCUACGGGAGGCAGCAGUGGGGAAUAUUGGACAAUGGGCGAAAGCCUGAUCCAGCCAUGCCGCGUGUGUGAAGAAGGUCUUCGGAUUGUAAAGCACUUUAAGUUGGGAGGAAGGGCAGUAAGUUAAUACCUUGCUGUUUUGACGUUACCAACAGAAUAAGCACCGGCUAACUUCGUG
This 484-nucleotide ribosomal RNA is filed under the name uncultured bacterium. RNAcentral's name for it is "partial 16S ribosomal RNA". It matches the Rfam family "Bacterial small subunit ribosomal RNA", at positions 30 to 507 of the family's 1533-position model. The record is from RNAcentral.